AUGUAAUCGCACACCAUAUUGGCCACGCCGGUGGCGCUAUUGCGCGCUGAGUUCGAAAUAUCUGCAGCAGAGUUAGAGAGAACUGCUGUGGGUGAGUCGGUUCUUUUGCAGCUCCGUGCUAAGAGUUAUAAAAUAUUGGUUUAAUAUUCGAAUAUUAGACAAUGCAUAUGGAACUGCAUCCCGGCUGAAAAGACUCACUAUUCUCUCCUUUUUACUGCUCUGUGUGCAGAAAAUAAACGAUAAUAUCAUCCACAUUGAGUGUGUGUGCUGUUGAGGAGUGGGUCAGACUGGGCCAGUUUGGAUCAAAGGUCACAUUGGUGCCGUGACCCGGAUCUCAAUCAAGGUGGUCGAAGAUCAUCCCAACUUUGGACCGGCGGACCUGUCAUCAUUCUUCACUGCACAGAACCUUCAGCUAAGAUGUUAUUAGUUGUUGCUGGACUUUAAAAAAAAACAAAAAAAAACUUUUGAAUGGGCACUCUAAAGUGGUUUGAUAUUUUAUUGUCCAGACGGAACUGCAUCCCGGCUGAAAAGACUCACUAUUCUCUCCUUUUUACUGCUCUGUGUGCAGAAAAUAAACGAUAAUAUCAUCCACAUUGAGUGUGUGUGCUGUUGAGGAGUGGGUCAGACUGCGCCAGUUUGGAUCAAAGGUCACAUAUAUAAAUUACAUAUUUCAGUUACUU
Tachysurus fulvidraco (yellow catfish) is the source of this 680-nucleotide long non-coding RNA. RefSeq lists it as uncharacterized. Lineage: Eukaryota; Metazoa; Chordata; Actinopteri; Siluriformes; Bagridae. The transcript is spliced from 3 exons. The record is from RefSeq and is a predicted model, not a curated record.